This 77-nucleotide transfer RNA is filed under the name Candidatus Moraniibacteriota bacterium. RNAcentral's name for it is "Candidatus Moranbacteria bacterium (sediment metagenome) tRNA-Glu". It matches the Rfam family "tRNA". Rfam says of the family: Transfer RNA (tRNA) molecules are approximately 80 nucleotides in length. Their secondary structure includes four short double-helical elements and three loops (D, anti-codon, and T loops). Lineage: Bacteria; Candidatus Moraniibacteriota. The record is from RNAcentral.
GCUCCCAUCGUCUAGCGGCCAAGGACGACUGGUUUUCAGCCAGUAAAUCAGGGGUUCGAAUCCCCUUGGGAGCACAA